CGGGGGCCGCGUCGGCGCGCGCAGGGUGGCCUCGCUUGUGAGUCUGCGCGUCAGGGCCGCCGGCCUCGCCUUGGCUGUUGGAGCUGACUUCGCGUUGCCCAGGUGACACAGACGGGUUCCCCGUUGUCGUGCCAGCGCUCUUUCCUUUCACCAUAUGCCGUCUCUCAGAGUCGUUCCAAGUACUCUGAGGGAAGACACCCUCGGUUGUGGAAACAAGCCCCUGUCAUCGUGCCGGAAGUAGUGAGUCCUCUAAAGGUCCCAGGAAAACAGUUUCCUCAAAUAUACUCGUUGAAAAACUGAAGACAUUGCCUGAGAUGCAAGUUGAAUUAAGGACAUAGAACCCUUAGAAGACCAUAGGUUCUCCCUGAGAAGCACAACACCAAUUAUGUGUUAAAUACUAUGGGGCCUGCCCAGUGGAGCAGCGGUUAAAGUUCGCUUUCUGCUUCAGCAACCCUGGGUUCACCAGUUUGAAACCUGGCUGUGGACCUGUGCACCGCUUGGCAAGCCAUACUGUGGCAGGCAUCCCGCAUGUAAAGUAGACGAAGCUUACAAUCUGACUACUGGAGGCAGAGAUUAGUAAAUACAAUUUGCAUACCGUGGGCAUGCUGUAUAACCUGGGAAGCCAUAAAAUGGAAGACACAGGGACUCUCAACGUAUGGAGGAAAUCUGCCUGACAACCAAGAACACCCACCCUUAAGAGCAAG
This 704-nucleotide long non-coding RNA is filed under the name Equus asinus (donkey). RNAcentral's name for it is "lncRNA (ENSEASG00005035180.1)". The record is from RNAcentral. Lineage: Eukaryota; Metazoa; Chordata; Mammalia; Perissodactyla; Equidae.